This is an RNA transcript of Apis cerana (Asiatic honeybee), 15041 nucleotides long. RefSeq lists it as uncharacterized. Lineage: Eukaryota; Metazoa; Arthropoda; Insecta; Hymenoptera; Apidae. The record is from RefSeq and is a predicted model, not a curated record.
UUGGAUUGUGUCUUCACAAAGACAAGAGACAGAUUCGAAGGAGCGUCGUGCUUACGAGCACGUAGUUUACGAGUUCGAUCGCAGUAUCUGGUUUCAGCGAGUGUUAUGUGAGUUGGCGUAGUGGCGAAAGAGAGCUUAAAGUGAGAGGAAAAAUCGCAUGAAGAGGCAGAAAUUGACGGGCGCUGCUUGACGGAUAAUAAUAUCAGUUUUUAAAAUAGAAUGAACAUCGUUUAGUGCGCGUACAUAUACAGACACGUACGAGAUAUUGCUAUAAAGUUAAUUUCACGUUUUACGGACAUAUAUGUACACGCGCGUGCGUGUUGCGAGGGUACGAAUACAUAUAGUUUCGCUGUCGAACGGUGAUAUAUUGUGAAAAAUCCGUGUGGAGCAGCGAAAACAAACAACUCGUGUCCGCCAUCUUGUGCCUCUCCAGCUACGUUGAAAGGAAAGUGAGAGAAUUCGGACCGACGUGUGUGAUUUUAUUCGGUGAGAAAAAAGAGUGUAAGUAGAGGUGACCAACGGUCACCGAAUGUGGUCAAAAUUGCAAAAAACACGAAUAGGGAGGACUGCGAGAGAACUCAAAAAAAGCGAGACGAGGUAGCAUUGCGCUCAUAGGAGGUUCGUAGGAUACCCCACCAAGUUUAUUCCUCCGCGUUCCCCCUACCCUUUUGCCCUGGAUCCCGAGAUUAUUGCGCAGUUAGAAAAUUCAUUGAAUACAAACAUCGUCAAAAACUUCGUUGCAUCUUUGGAAAGUGACCCGCGGACAUUAUACGACGGGUUGGUUGACUUUAUGAGUGAUACGAAAUUAUUAUAAAGCCAUGACGAAUUCGGUACCGAAAUUGAAAAACAAGGUAGACCGGCAGGGUUCGCCAAAUGUCGGCAUUGAUCGACAUCAUCACCGUUCGAUAAUUACACUCAAACAGCCGGCGUAUGUCCACAUGAGUGGGAGAUCUCAUGGCAGAAGUUCAACCGGCAGAUUAAGCUGCAGCCCACACGGUUCUUCAAAAGGUUCGAGAAAUUCACCGUUGCGGUAUGAAUAUAGUCCGCGCGGCAGUCCAACAAACAGUUUUUAUGCGGGUGCAAAGUUUUCUGAACCGCCAUCUCCUGCGAGCCUUCCGAAACCACCGAGCCAUUGGACUACGAGACUGAUGAGCAGUUGUCAGCAAUCCGACAGGAUUUGCGAUAUUUCAAAUCAUCUGAAGAUGAUGUUAAACGUCCAAGCCUGAUACAUAAAGACCAACAGACCGCUAAAAACGGUUACCAGCUCCUAAAAACAAAGAGACAGGUACGAUAUUAUCGUCCCCCCUCUUGGAUUUAAGGAUGUAUUUUUUUUUCUUGUAUGUGAUGUCAAGCUGUUCGUUUGAAACAAACAAAAAAAAAAACAGAAGUGUUUAUAACUGCGCGAUACCACAAUCUCUAAGAAUGAUACACAAGUAAUAUUGCAAUUAGAACAGGGCACCAGCGUCUUCAGUUUCAUGGUACAGAUGCUGCGUGAAAAAAAACUACGAUUCGUUCUUUAAACUACUAUACAAAACAUAAACAUUGAAUAUGAAAGACGCAGGUGCGUCUGCCGUGAACCAUGAUUCAAGUAUAUAAUAACUUGUAACAAUUCUAUUAUGCGCCGUCUAUGAAGAUAUAAACGUAUGUAUUUUAGAUUAUUAUUAUAUAUGAUUAACUUGCAGAGACGCAUACAUAUACACAAAUACACAAACACUGUUAUAUUAUCUGUUUGACGAAAUGGUACGAAGACAUAGGCAAAGCUGCAUUAGCUAUUUUUAGGAACAAUAGCUAUAUAUUUUUUUUUCUUUUUUUUCUUUUUUUUUUUUUUUUUCUCUUUAAGCUCAAAAUUGCUAUAUCUUAGCACUGUUGAUUAUGACAGUAUAUAUGUUUUAUUCUUUAUUAAUUAUAAUCCGGAAUUCUUUCCAAAACAAUUAUUUAAAUCUUUAUACCAGAUAUAUACUACUUGCUUUUUUCUGAUUAAAAGAUACUUUAUAUGUACAUCAUAAGUGGUAAACUUUAAGUAUUACACAUAUUCAUCUACUGCUCUUUAGCAUAAACCUAAGUAUCAAUUAAGUAUAACUUUGACUAAUGAUUACUCUUAUAUAAUUUCUUGUCUCUCAGAUUCAGUUAAGUCUUCAAUAGGCUCAGAAGUCUUCAAUGGCAAUAGGUUUUGUAGAAUUCACAUGUUCAGUGAAUCUUUAAAUCAAAUUACCCUUGAAAAAUCUAUUAUAACAAAAUUUUUGGUUUUUAUUUAUCUUCUUUUGUUCUUGAAGAUAUAUCCUCAAUUUUGCAGCUUUGCAAUAAUUCUGCAAAGCAUUAUAUAAGAUUUAAGUGAUGAGUUUCCAGUGUGCAUACAGAUGGAUCAAUUUUUUUGAAAAUUCGUGAAUGAGAGAAUGAUAAGAUUGUAUGAAUGAAUAAUGAAGAAAAUGAUUUGAUACGUAUGAUGAUGGAUAUUUUACUAUUCUUCUUUUUUUUUCUCUCAAAAAAAUUUAUAAUUAAGCAAUAUUAAUGCUUAAAUUAACAAAAUUUUUAGAAGAUUCUCUAUAAAUGACAAAUUUAAUUUUUAUCUAAUAUAAGAAAUCCAAUUAGAGGCUUGUCAUUAGGAUUUCAUUAUAAAGUGAUUUUACUUAUCUUUAGAAUUGAAUAAUGUUUAAUUAUUUGAUAUUGAAUGAAAUUGUGAGUUCACAAAAUUUUUUGGUUCAAUUCUAAAUAUAUGUGUUCCAAGAAAACAUUUCAAAAAUGAAAUUUUUUCUGAUUUUAUAUCGUUGUAAUGAAUUUUUUUUUUCUAACAUUGCAUAUGUUAUAUUAUAAAAAUAAUAACAAUAAUUUUUAAUUUUUUUUUGCAUUUUCUUUUUCUGUUUAUCUUCUCUCUCUCUCUCUCUCUCUCUCUCUCUCUCUUUCUCUUUCUCUUUCUCUUUCUCUUUUUCUUUCUCUUUCUCUUUCUCUUUCUCUAAAUACAAUAUUUAAUUAUAGAUUGACCAAAUUAUUUAAAAUGAUGUUUUAACUAAUAUAUUAUUUUCUCUAAUAGGAAAUAUUGCUUUCUUUUUCCUUUUUUUUCUUUUCUUUUUUUUCUCUUUUUUUUAAAUUAUAUUGAUUUCAUUCUCUCUUUAACAAUUUUUUAUUUAAUUAUUACAAUAAAUUAGGAAUUGGAUUUGAUGUAUGCAUAUGCAGAUCUCAAGAAGAAAAAAAUAUCCGAACAUAUGUAUAUUCUUUGUGAGAGAAUGAGAGUGAGAGUGAGAGUAAGAAUGAGAAGGACUGGAAGAAAAAUACUAAAACGUGCAAUUUCGAACUUUCAAUUACUUUCUCCAUCUUUGUAGUCUUGUAAGGCAAAAAAUUUUUUAAUCGUAUCUAUAGCAUCUGACAGCAUUACCCGUGGAAUGGUUGAUAAAAAUUUUGAUGUAAAAUCGACGAGAAUUCAUUGAUUUUCAGUUAACCGGUUCUCAUUGAACAGGAUCUCGAUUUCUUUUUUUUUUUUUUUCUCUUUUUUAAUAACCAUCGCCAAACAAAACAGCUUAGAAAACUGUUAACCAAAAAAGCGGUAAUGGUGUUAAAAGAGAAAAAAAAAAUAUUUUCUUCUUCAUUUUUGUUACUUUUGUAAUUCAAUUCAUAAAUACGUUUUCAGUUUAAUUUUUUUUCAACUCAUUCUUAAGACCAUAUAUUUUUAAGAUGCUACAAAAGUCUUAAAUUUCAAUUUUCGCUCAUCUGAAUUUCAUAGAAGAAAAUUAUUUCUAAUGAUAGUACACGUGUAAUAUUGAUAAGAACCGGAAGAUAAUCGAUGAUCGUUAUAAUCCUUGCUAAAUAGUUUCUGCUCUCGUCGGAAAAGGAAUUGUUACGAUUGAAUAGAUAAAUAGAAAGAAAUGAAUGGGGCAGGAUUAUAUCCAGAAAGUGUAUCGUUUUCAUCGCAUAAAUUAUUAUUUUUUUUAAAUGCAAUAUAUAAGUUCCAAAGAUUUCUUAAAUGUGAUUUUUGUAGAGAAUUUUCAAGGAAAAAUUUCCCGUUUGUUUGAUGGCUUGUUUCGAAGAAGAAAGUACAAUGAUCUCUCUCUUUAAAAGUUAGGGAAUUCUAUUCUUUCUUUCUUUUUUUUUUUUUUUUUUUUUUUUUAAUUUUUCGAAUCAUAUUUGUAUAAAUCAUAUUAAACCUAAUAUUAAUUGUACAUAUAUAUAUGUGCCAGGAUUCGGAUGAAAAUUUGUCAAGUUCGUUAUGAGUUUUUUUCUUAAAGGACUCAUCGGACAUGAAAUAAACGAAUUAAAAAAACACUGCCGUCCUGUGGGAAAUUGAUGGGAUUGGAAUCGAUAGUAUUUUGAGCAUGCGAAGGUUAUCGCACAGAUGCGCAUCGUUUGUGAAUUUGUGUAAAUAAUGGAGAAUAAGAAAGUUGCAAUUUCGAACAUUUGUAAAUGUACUGUAAAAAAAAAAAAAUUAAUGUACAUAUGAAGAAUGCAAAAGAACGAUGUGUAUUAUGUAUAUAUUAUAUACAUAUAAAUAAAUAUAUAUAUAUAUAUAUUAUAUACAUAAAGAAAAUAAUUAAUCUCGAUGACAACGGCAUUUGUUCCGUUCCGAUCGAGAGCAUGGACCUUAAAAAAUUUCGAAACUCUAAGUACAGCAAUAUGCAUAAUUACCUGUUCGAGUCUCGCAAAAAUGCAAAAAAUAGUCAGUAUGUGCAAAAGUGAAAAAUAAAAAACAAAAAAAAAUGAAAAAAAAAAUAGUUGAAGGUUGCCAGGCUCGAUUCAAAUGAUCUUUGAGACGAACAAAACGUGUAAUUGAAAAGAAAUUGUAUUCUAUGAUAAAGAGGGAAAUAUGAAAGGAACAAAAAAAUGGUAUCCAUAUAAAAAGUGACGCAAAUAAAAAAAGGCACGAAUUGCAAAAUAAUGAAUAAUCAACCAAUUGAUAAUUUAAACAAUGAUAAGAAAUUAGCUGUGAUGAUGAUCCUAUAGGUACUACUAAUUUUUAAUUGGUAACUGAUCAACAUAUAUAUAUAUAUACACACAUAUAUAUAUUAUAUAUUAUAUGUAUAUGAUUAAACGAUAAGAUGGGCUAAUUUAAGGAACGUUCAAGUACGAUGAUAUAUAAAAUAGAAGAUAAUACAGUCUUUUUUCAGAGAGAGCGAAAGCGAGAGCGAGAGAGAGAGCGAGAGCGAGAGCGAGAGAGAGAGAGAGAGAGAGAGAGAGAGAGAGAGAGAGAGAGAGAGAGAGAGACGUUAGAUAACAUGAAAGAAACAUAAAAAUAUUGUGUGAAUAGGAAAAAGGUAGGGAGGGGGAUGUUUUUCUUUGUCUCUUAAAACGUGGAUUUGAAUCCCGUGCACUUCUACGUAUUAUUAAUUAUCCAUAAAACUUAGUGAUUAGCAACGUAUGCGCGCGAUAGUGGAACACAAAUAAUAAACAAAAAUAAUAAAAUAACAGAGAGCACAGACAUUAAUAUUAUUUAGGAACUCUUUCGAGUACGUCCAUCUUGUGUGUCGUAAUCCACUUUCGUGACUUUAAGAUGAAAAUAUAGCUAGUAGUUCUAAUUAUAAGAGCCAACGAGAACUUGGGUCGUUUCGAAAAAUGGGAUCGAGGUCGGGAGGCGGAAAUUUUAUCUUUGAAUGUUGUUUCCGGUUGAAGAAACCGCGAGAUAUCGUGAUAUUACUUCUUUCUGUUUUCGGUUUACGCGAAUAUUUUCCGUGGAUCGAAUUUAAUGCGUAUGCCAUAAAUGAAAAGAAGUAGGUCUUUUUCUUAUUUUUUUUCUUUUAAUUUUUUUUUUUUGUGGAAAUGACAGAAAAACAAGAAAGAACAAAAAGAAUGAUACGAGACGAUCCAUGCUCGAUUGGUAUUUAUUGUGAUAUUGUAACGUACAAAAAUCGUUCGUCGCGAGUUACACGAAAAAUCGAAAAAUAAUCAAUACAAAUUUAAGAUUCUCGUGAAUGCUUCAUGGAUGUGUCACGGAUCCAUUUUCUAAAACAAAAAAACAAAAAAUGGCACUCUUGCUAAACAUUUUACGAUCUUAUAUUUUAAGUAUUUUAUAUCUUAAUAAUUUUAUUGUCUAAGAUAUUACAACUUCAUUAUUUUUGUUUCUUAAAAUAUAACGAUAGUUUUAAUUAAUUGUCAUGAUCAAAUCUGACAAAAGAUAAUUUAAAUUGCAACAAUAGAGAUUAAAGAAAUCGAUCCUAUAACAACAAAAAUUAAGAAAUAUUAUCUUUUCUAUUUCCUAUAAAACUCAUUUAAUAUACGUGUAUAUAUAUAUCGUGAUAUUAUGUUAGAUUAAAAAAUUUAGCCACCGAAUAUUAAAGGAACAAGAUCUUUAUAAGAAAUAGACUAUUUACUACUUGUCUUGCAUCACACGUUCAUUGUGAAUGCGGCAUUAUUGACUGCGGAGUUACAUGUUUACAUAUUCACCGUGAUACAUCCGUCGACGAACAUCAUGCGACAUAUGUGUGCACGUACAAAAUGGCUACGUGCCCUUGUAUGUCCUGUUGCAAUCUAUACACGUAUAUCUUCGUACCUUUUGAAUAAUUUCUUUUGCUGGUCUCUUUCGAAAAAUGGUUAAUCGUAAAUCAUAAUUCUGUUUAUACUUUAAUUUUGCGUAAUUCUAAUAUAGGGCUGUACGGAAUAUUAUUCGAGGAGAAUAUAUUAUAUAUAAUUAUUGCAAAGAAAGGAAACGUGUCGAAAUGCUAUGUUUGUUCGUUUCUUUGAUCUGUUUGAACAAAAAUUUUUAAUUCAUCAUUAUAUUCGGAAAAUGUAUUUCUAUUUUUUCUUCGAUCUGUAAAUUAGCUUUGGAGCUUCCACAAAAAAUCGAUGGAAUUCCUCGUCUGUUUGAUUCGUUUUGAGAUUCUUAAGUGAUAUAUAAAAAAUGCACUUGUACGGAUUCUUUUGAUCAAAGCUCCGUUUUUUCCGAUUAAAUGACGAAGUUUCCAAUUUUAAUUGAAAGUUCUUUCGCGCAUUUUUUUGGAUAUAUUAAUACAUGCACUUUAUUACUUAUUUCAUUAGACGGAUAAUUAAUUAUUUUUCUUAGAAGAACAUUACAUUUCUUUUUUUUUUUUUUUUUUUUUUUCAUAUAUAUAUAUAUUUUCUUUUUUUAUUAUUAUUAUUAUUAUUAUUUAGUUGUAAUUACAUUUAUGGUGAUGUGCUCUUUUUCUUUUUUUCUUUUUCUUUUCGUUUUUUUAAAUCACAAGUGUAGUUUUAGGUUAAUGACAUCAGGAAAAAAAAAAUCAAUCUCUUGCUAUUUACUUAAUUUCCGUAAUUCACAAUUUACUCUAGUUUUGUAAGCGAUUUAUUCACAUCGGUUGAGUAUAUUUGAUUUAGGGUGAAAUUUUAUGUUCGUACUUCGAAAAAUUUCUUUUAUUCAGAUUUUAACGCCUUUUUUCUUUUUUUCCUUUACUAUCAUUUGGCAAACUCUCAUGUAUAAAAGUGGUGUUAAAGAGCAGAGAAAAAGAAUCAAUACGAAUUUUUGCAUAUCCGUACUACUUUUCAUUAGGGAAAGAAUACCGGCGAAACGUUCUUUUUAAAAAAAAUUCGCGAUUAAAUACAAUGAAUCGAAAGGAAAAAUGUGAGGAUCAAACUCGCAUCGAAGUAAAUAUAUAGAAAAAAUAUAAUAAAAUAGAACCAACGUCUUCGAACGACAACGUCAAACAAUACAAAAAUGAAACAAUGAAAUUAUGUCGCGUCUCGAAUCGUUUUGCCCUCAAAAGUAUUUUGUCACGAGGGAACUUCGAAACGCGACAUCAUAUUAUCGAUAUGUAAUAAUAUCGUUUUAAAUUGAUCUUUCAUGCAAGAGAAUGGAAAUCAACAGCUCAUCAAUUUCAUACGAAGCACUGAUCAUUAUACAGGGACACAAAACACAGCCACACGAAACACUAUGUCGAUUAAUUAAUUAAGCCUUAAAUUUAGAAUUAAGUUGAAAGGUCUGAAGUGAAACAAAGAUAGAAAGGAAAAGAAGGAGGGAGAGAGAGAGAGAGAGAGAGAGAGAGGGAGAAAGAGAGAGAAAAGAGGAAGAAGCUGUCUUUUUAAGCGCUAUGGUCUACGAUUACAUAUUUAAAUCAAAUAUCUCAAUCAAUGUUUUUUUUUAAAAAGAUAGAACAAAUGUGAGAAAGCGCGAUUUUAAUCGGUAAAAGAUUGAUGUUAUUUUUUUUUCUGAUCCAAUCGUGCCUCCUUUUUUGUUCCAUUUAGAUUUCUUACGUGGUAUUCGAUUCGUAUAUUUCAGAUUUGAUUUUAAAUAUCUUUAAUUCUCGUCGAAACAAUCGUCAAAAUUCGAGGCACAUGCUUUGAUCUCAAUUGUUCUCGCGAAAGGAACUUUUAUUUGUGUUUUAUUUCUAUACCAAGGAAAUCUAGUGGUCAUGGAAUCAUGCAGCGAAAUUCGACGCCAUUUUCACUCGCUCUUCAAUAAUCGAUUUAUAGUAUUAAUAUAACAAGUGUCGCUUUGCGUUCGAAUCGAAUCGUUUCAAAUUCGAGGCGACAUUUUCUUCAAGAUCACUAAUAAUAAUAUAUAAAAUAAAAGAAGACCGAAAGUUUGUUUUCUGCGUGGUUCUACGAUACACACACAUUUAUAUAUCGAACGAUAAAAAAAAAGACAUUUUCGAAGGGCUAGACCAUUGUUAAGGAAAGUACGAUUUUUACCUACGGUAGCAAGGAGAAGUUUCUCGUGAUCUAUUGAUUGUUUACUUGUAAAUUCCAUAACGCAUCUCUGACGAGCCUGUCGAUGACAAUAUUUUUUAUCCUUCUUCCUGCUGCUGCUCGUGAAAGUCCAGCCGUACACCAGCGCGAUGCGCGACCAUAAAAAAUACAAUAUCAUUUUGUUUUUUUUUUUUUGUUUUUUAUUAAAUGGGAUUAAUUUGACGGAAGAUUAAUCAUAGAGCUCGUAAAAAUAUGGUAUAAAAAAAAAAAGAAAACAGGGACAUCAAAUGAAUUGCACAAAAAUUUUACAUAUUAUAAUAAAACAAGUAUCCGUGUCAAUCUGAUGUGCGGCUAAAUUAUAAAAUGUAGGGGAAAUGGAUUGACCGCAAUUGCGGUACGUAAAAAAAAAAAAAAAAAAACGCACUGACUAUUUUAGCGAAUCGAGAUUCGACCAUGUACCUUGAUAUAUAUCUUGAGAGUGUCUCCAGAAAGUAUGUAUGCGUUGGUGAUUGCGAAAGGAAGUAAGAAUGCGAAUAUGUAUGUAUGUAUGUAUGUAUGUAUGCGAGCGUGCCAAAAGAAAAGUUGUGAGAUUAAGCGUGCGUGCACGUAUGUGUGGUGUGUGUGUGUGUGUGUGUGUGUGUAAGAGGGAAAGAGAGAGGGAGAGAAAGAGAGAGAGAGAAAGAGAGAAAAUAAACUUAAAUAUAUAUAUAUAUAUAUAUUAAAUAUAUACGGUCGGAGGGAGAAUCCCUUCGCUCUUGAAAAAGAAAGAAAAUGGACGCGUUUUAUCCAGAAGAUAAUUAAAAUGAAGAUCGUUUAUUUUUACGAUCGUUCGAACAAAAUUCGCAAACCAAAAGUAAAUUAAAUGAAAGAUGAAUAAACUCGGAAAAAACGUGUCCGUUUGACUUCUCGAUUUCUCGCAUGUGCAGAGCGGUUUAUGCACCAUUGCACGAUCAAUAAUAAAAGAAAAGCAAAACAACACACGAUCGAUGGCGUUUAAAAAUGUGUGCGUGCGUGUGUUGCUUGACAAAGAAGUUAUGAACGAAAAGAGAUUGUGCCAUCGCUCGCACGUGCGUGACAAUAAUUUUUCCUACGUGUAAUCGUUGUGCGAAAUAACUUUAGUUUUUUUCUUCUCCUUUUUGUUUCAAGGCUCACCGCGGAGAGUAAUGUUUGCGCGGUAAAUUUGAAAUUCUGCAAGAUAGAAAUUUUCUAUUUUUCACGCAAAAAUGUGAAUACACGACGCUUGUAUUUUGAGUCAAUUACUAAAUUAUCCGCGCUGCCAGAUGUUCAUUCCACUUUUAAUCGGCCAGUAGUGAAAGACGCGGCGCUGCCAUCUUGAUCCGUAGACCUAGUUUCCAUACUAUACAGGUCAAUAAUAUAAUUAGCAGUAAAUUUUAACUAUGUAGAAACGAAUUAAGUAAAUGCGUAUUAUAUAUAAUUUCAUGCUGUUUGAUCAAUUGACUGUAUAUUUUUAUUUUAUAAAUUUCAUAAUUUUAUCUAUGAUAAAUAUAAUUUUAGUACAUCAUAAAAAUCAAAUUUAAGUGCAAAUUAUAAUUUAAUAUAAUGAGAAUUGCUUUUAUAUCUGAGUUUUACUCAGCUGUACAUAUCAUAUAAUUGUACAAAUUAUAUAUAUUAGUCUCUCUAUUAGUACCUUCCGAAUAAAAUUUACAAGUGAAUAAAGAUUUUAAAGGAAGGAUGAUAGAUUGACUAUUUUAAUUUUUAUUUAAAAAUUUUGGAGACUAGUACUUCGGAUCGGAAAAAAUUGUAAAUUAGAUAUAUAUUUAUAUCGAAAUGGUCUUAAGAAAAUGACUUUCCUGUCACGCGCAGAUGUUUCUCCUCCGUCUAUCUGUCCUACAAACCACGUGGCAUUUCAUCUUCGAAUGGUUUCUCUUACUUUUGUUAUUUCUUUUUUUUUUUCCAUUUUAUAAGCUUAUAUUUUUACAUCAUCAAGCAUCGCUGUACAGAGCAUUGUUCCGCGAAACUUUGGUCUGCUUUAAAACGAACGAUGAUUUAGAAAUAAAAAAAUGCAAAAACGAACGAGGUAGACUUAUAGUGCACCGAAGGGCACUAUCUAUUCGAAGAAGCUUAUACUUCAGAAUCAAUAGGUCUUUCAUUUUGUACAUUUAUUAAAACAUAAUUUUCGUAUUGUUUUUUGCUAAUAUUAUCCUCUUUAAUAACAACAACAUUGUGAAAGCUUGUUUCGACUGGAUCCAAAAAAAAAAAAAAAAGCAAAAGAUUAAGAAGUUAUAAGUAAAGUAAAUUAGCACAAUUCAAAACAAUGAAAAAAAAGGAAGAAAAAGAAAAAGUCAAGACUAUCGAUAAUCCUAUUGUCUUCGAAAGUAUAGGCUUCGCGAAUCCGAUAAAGUUAUACAAAAAACAAAAAAAAAUACAGAAUGACAGAACUUUUGUUCUGUCCCAACGAAAUAGAGGCGACGAGUUUACCGUUAGGCAGUAAAUUAUAUAGAUGUAAUUAAGGUUUACUAAAACGCGAUAUUUGCAAUGAAAACGGUGAGAGAAACGAGGAGAAAGAUAAGAGCUGUAUCGUGGAAUGAUUGAAGGAUUAAAUAUUAAAGAUGACGAUGUGAUCCCAGGAAACGAUGCGAUUAUCGUUUUCCUUUUUGCGUCUCUUUGAUAAAACUCCGUCGCGGACAUGAUGCAAUUUGCUGUCAAGUUUUAGGGUAUAUAAGAAUAGAGUUAUAUAAUGUAUAUCUAUAAUUGUACGUAAAAAAACGCAAAAGCAGUACGUUUAAGGUUCGACUCGAGCGCAUACAUAAGAAAUAAUGUAUUAUAAAAUAUCAUAUUAAGGGUGCCCGUUUUGAGUGCAACAUUUUUUUUUUUCUUGAGGAGGAUCAAUCGAUAAAAAGCGGGUCUAAGCGAAAGAAAGAAAGAAAGAAAAAAAAAACAAGAACAGAUUCGCGAACAAUUGUACAUAAUGCGUGAAUCGAAAUUCAUUUUCACGAGCCGUGGUGAGCUCGCGAAAGAGAAAAAUAUUUUGUUAUGUAAAAAAAAAAAAAAAAAGAAUCGAUGACUGAUCGAUGAGAUGAAGAAAAAGAAGUUCCAUUUUGGGAUACAGUGUGUGGCUGCUAUGCAUUUUCAAACGCACGUUUCGAGUUAUCCUAUGAAACUGUUCGAUCGAUAUAUAGAUCUUUCUGCGGCUUCAAGUUUGUAAAGAAAAGCGAAGAAGAGGAAGAAGAGGAAAUAAGAAUGAAGAAGGGUGGCAACGAAAAACAAGACAAUGGAUGCUGUCGUUACGCGCAAGAACGAGAUUUCUUUAUCAUUCCGAAGAGAUAGACUAACUUGGUCACUUUCAUAUUAAAAAAAAAAAUAAUAAUAAAAAAAAAAAAUAAAAAAAAAUAAAAAAAAAGAAAUACGUAUACCGAGAAAACAUAAGUAUGUACAUUCCGGUUCAUAACAAAAUGAUCUUUCGAGAUCAUAUUAAAUUGUGCGUGCAUUAUUCACCAAUAAAUUAUUUUUACUAAAGAUAUAUGUACAAUACAUAUAUCGAAGAGGAGAGAGAAUUUCGACUGGACGCAAUUCCCGUCGAAUUUUAAUUUCUUCGAAUGGAAUCAAACUAUAGAGGAAAUGAAGAGAGGACCAAGAAGAACCGAGGAAGAAUAAGAACCGAGUCAAGGGGAUAACGGGAGAGCUAACGAUGGCGCGAUCGACGAGAAUGGAUUAUGAUUAUCGAUUGGCCACCUUUCAACGCGCAUCCCGUUGUUUUCUUGGCGAAACAAUCGUCUCGUGUUUGCGCGUUCGACGUGGGCUUAGGACUGUGUGUGUGGGUUCGUAAAAAAAGAAGAAAUCAAAUGGAAGUUAUACAUAGACGGGACGAAAUAUGUGGUCCCGUGUAAAUAAGGAAAAGACUCGAAAUUUUUUCGAUGAUAUAAUAAAUAAUUUAAUAAUCGUCCACACAAUACGAAGUUCGACAGAGGAACAAUUAUUUUUUGCCGUUUUUUCUUCUAUUGAAAAAAAAAAAAAAAAAGGAAACUUCUCGAAGUUUCCGUCGCUAGAGCGAUGAACAACUGUGGCGUAGCGAGAUGAUUAUCUUGAACGGCGAUGAUGAUGAUGAUCCUCCGGAAAAGGAACGUAACUGAGAAAAAGAGCAAGUACUUGGAGAAAUAUAAUAUGGCGAAGAAUGAUAUAUCCAAGUCGUACCUAAAGCGUAAUUGUUUAUAUAUCGUAAUUUUGGUACUGUUAUUCGAGUACGUAUACACGCGUUUUUUUCGAAGAAAUUAUAAUAAGCGCGUGACCAAUGGAGGAGGAGAAGAAGAUGAAGAAACACGAAAAAGAUGCAAAGAAGCGAUUGUCGGCGAUAAUAAAAUUAAAAGAUGAAACAGAGUAAAAUGGCAGCACCGCGGAAUGGAAGAUUUAAUGCGAGUAAAGGAGGAAAUAUAUAAUGUCUUUCAAAGUGAGAAUGAUUGGUAAUGAAGAAAUAAGAACCUCUGAGUGAGGUUUGAGCGGAUGUGAUGAGAGGAUUUCUAAAAAACCAUCAGAAAAAAUGUCUUUUUGAAAACAAAAAGCACCAAAAAAAAUCAAUAUAUAAAACCAGUGGAGUGUGGUGUGUGUGAGAAAGCGCGAGUGGGAAGGAUGAUUGAAAAUAAAAAUAAGAAAAUAUCAACAACGGAGAAGCUUAAUAAAGGGAUUUAGGAAUAGUAAGGAAACAUGAUAUUGGGAGAGAAAGUAAAUAUGGCUUUAAAAAUAUUGGUGUGCAAUAAUCGCCGAGAUAGCUCAAAGAUGAAUCGAGCAGAAAACAGAUGAAAAAAAAAAAGAAGAUUCUUGAAUCUUCUUUCAUAUAUAAAAACAAGGAUUGCGAGGAUCUUUUUUUGUAGCAUGAUAAAAACAAAUUUUUGAGGCGAUUCAUGAAAUAAAAAUCAGACUUGACUUCAUUGGAAAAUAUUUCAGUACAGCACAACUACUACACACGCGCAUACACAUACAUACAUACAUAAUUCAUAUAUACACACGUAUGUACAUAAGAAAAAAAAAUGAAAGAAGCAGACUAAGAGAUUUAAUCUUAAAAAAAAAUUUAUGUGAGUCACGUGUGCAAAAUUCAAAUUGAAUAAACACUGGACGCACAUGUUUACUAUUAUCAUCGUUGCUAUCGUAUGUCACGGCAUAUAUUAAUGGAAAUAAACGCAGAAGUGCGAAAACCUUCGAGGAACUGAAUGAAAAAGAAAUACAUUCAGAAAGUUAGAAAGAAAAUUGAUUGAAAUUGACCAAACGUCUGAAAAUUUUUUCAAUAAUUGUACAUCAUUUACCAUUUUUCAAAAGACAUACGUGUAUAUAAACACGUCAUAAUUAAAGUUUUUUUUCAUAAUCAUCUAGCGUGUAAAUGGAUCUGCUCCUUUCAAGGAAAAACUAAAAGAAGAAGAAGAAGAAGAAGAAAUAGAGCAACGAGAGAAAAUUUUUAAUGUUUUUUGGCAUCCUGUCUUUUUUCUACUUAUUCUUUUUUAUUUCUUUUUCCUUAAUAUUACGCUUUCACCAUCCUUUCCUUUUCAUAAUAAUGAAAACUACUGGCCGAAAAUGUAUAUCACAAAAAAGUAUUCAGCUUUAUUCGUAAACAUUUUUUGAUGAUAAUAUUAUCCCUGUUCCUGUCUUAUACUAUAUUUUACAUGUUGCUCAUAUCCCGUCCACAUUUUCACUUUACUAUCCUUUUUUUUCUUUAGGGCCCUUCUCAGGGCCCGCAAAUGUCUCAUUGUAUGGAGUAGCAAUUUCUCGGAUGGACUAAACAUGCAUAAAAUCUGUCCUUUUCAGGACAAAAAUUUAAAAUCAUCUUUUUCAAGGCAAAAGUACAAAAUUAUUCAUUUUUGAAUUAAUUCUUAAAUUAAUUUUUAAAAGUUCUUUUCAGGAAAAGAUUCUACAAAGUAUAAUAAUACUUUUCAAGCUCAAAUAUUUCAAGUACCUGAAUUAUUAAUGCAUUGUUCUGCAUUUCAUUGUGAUAUUGUUGAAUUCUUUUUUCCUGCUGUGUUAUAGGUGUGACUUCAGUAUAUUUUUCUUACUAAGAAGAUGGAAGUAUUAUAUAUUUUCGAUGAAAUAAGAAGUAUAUUAUAAAAUCGAAGAAGUAUUUAUUCAAUCAAUUAAUUUUAUAAUUUUUUAAAUAAUUUUUAAUAGUAUAUUUUUUUUAUAAUAAAUAUUUUUUAUAUUUUCUCUGUUAUUUAUUUUCUUUCUUUUCUUUAUAUAUUUCCUUGUAUAUUUUUACACAUUUUGAAUUUAUAUGUAAAAAAUGAUAAAUUGAUAAAUAUUGAAAAUUAUGUUUUUAAAUAAAAGAUGUAAAUCAGAUUAAAAUUUAUAUAUAUUUAUGUACAUAUUGUAUCUUACGUUAAUUUCUUUUGAAUUUUAAUAUUUGUAUAAUAAAAUGAUGUCUAUGAAAUGAACGAAUAAUUAAAAAUAUAAUAUUAUGAUCCCAAAAGAAAAUUAAUCAUUAUUAUUUUAAAACUUGUGAUAUUAAUAAAUGUGUAUUCAAA